Molecule: long non-coding RNA, 2039 nt
Organism: Gasterosteus aculeatus aculeatus (three-spined stickleback)
Lineage: Eukaryota; Metazoa; Chordata; Actinopteri; Perciformes; Gasterosteidae
Source: Ensembl
UGGCGGGGAAAUCUCAGAGGGAGUUAUUCGCAUUUCUGCAACUGUUGCUCUUUCAGUUUAAUCCCUUAUGUGUGUUAAACCAUGCGCAUUAAAAUGAGUUUUCCCUUCGUAGUAUUUCUCUUCUGAACGUCUCCGAGGUCUUUUCUGCCCUAAAGCUCGAGAGAGGGAGAGUCUCACAGCAGAAAAACACACCGCGUGUCAGAUGUUCUCAUGAUGGACAGCGUUUGUAUUUAAGCCAGGCUGCUUGCGUUUAUGCAACGAUCGGCUUCUUGCGUUUAGCUCAUGUAAAUUUGUCAUUCUGAUCACGCACACAGCAGCAGGACGGAGGAAAUAGUAACAAAUAAAUAGUGUGCUCACGGAAAGUGAGGACUGCAGUGGCAAUGGUUGUAAUCACAAUAGUACAUGAGCAGGGUAUAUAUGCAAUAGAGAGAAAGCCAUUUCGUUAAUAAAUCAGCAUUAUGGAAGCUCCUUUUGCUUUUUUGUAACUCUGCCAACACUGAAAUAAGCAUACCCGAGCUGUUCUAUGAUUCCUCUGGAUUAUUCCUGUAAAUUCCUGAUGGGACAAAGUGCAUCUGCUGCCAUCAUGGAGCGUGUGCGUCCAGUAGAAGGGGGAGGUCCUCAGCCUGCGCCGCACAGCAACACACACACACACGUUUCUCCAGACGCAUUGGUGUUUGCUUUGGCUCUCCCGUGUCUCCAGCAGAGGGGUCAUCAGAAGCAGUCUCCUGCCUGAAGCCCGGCGGUCGUGAUCCGAGGCCCGGCCCCCUUCUCCGGGGGGACUCAAGUCAGAGACGAGCAGGAACACGAGCAGCAGCCACGUCCUCAUCGUGCUGAGACUGAGUUCUGUUAUCUGCACUGCAGCUUUCUCAUUUCACUUUGAAUAUGCAAACCGUACAGCAAACGGGGCCUUUGCUCUCUGGAGGUGCAGGCAAAGAGGCAACUUUCUGUCUCAAGGAGAGAAUAGUUUGUAACCCGUCCACCUCAGAUUUGAUUGUUUUUGUGUAACGUCUAGUGGGACAGUUGUAAUACAUCAUAUUUCAAAUAAAAAAAUGCAUUUAUUGGUAUGAAACUGAGUGAGAAAAUACUUUAAAACAAUUUCCAUUUUUAUAACGAUUAAGGAAUGUAUUUAUUUGUACUAUUAAUGUCUAUUCACUGACAGAAAUGUGAUUGGCCAGUAACAGGGACGCGGGGCGUGAGAGGCGGCUCUAUUGGGGCAGGUGCAUCUCCACAGUACGUUGCCCAACCCUGGCUGGGUCCUGCGUUUUUGCAUUUUAUCAGAUAUUAUCUAUAAGACACCUACUGCUGAGCUCCGGAGGACAGACGGCGUGCGUUAUUGUCUCCGUGCCUUCGGUGAAGCAGCAGAUACAAUGACGGGUGGAGAACAGGGGACAGCCUCAAGCAAAACAACGAAAUGGGGAACCUCAUGAACACGGCGUGCCAGAUGAGCAACUACAGCAAAAGGAACGUGCGCGUGUACGUCACGGAGAAGGCCCUGCCGCUCGACGCCUUCAUCGCGCCGCUGGCCGGAGGCGAGCAGACCGUCCCGGCCGUGCACCCCGGGGACAAGAAGUUCAGCUUCCGGGCGGAGGUGGAAUGCGUCCGCGUGCUGGCCUCUCAGACCCAGCAGGUGCCCUGGGAGGCUCGCCGCUUCGUGUCCGUCUUCGUGGAGGACGCAGACGACGAGGCGAUCUGCUCCAAGCAGAUCAUGCACAACAUGGAGCCCAGUGCCCCGGUGACCGUGCUGCUCUACGACCUGUAGGUCCACCGCCGCCUUCGUGCACCGCGUUGCUACCUGUAGCGGCUCUAAAUAAAGCUUGUUGAUGCAACCACACGUGGGGUGUUUUCGUGCAUUGCUGUCGACAUGAAAUAAAUGUCUUUUCCCGCCUUCCCGUCUGUCAUUUCGGAGGUAAAAUGAUGUUCCGCGGCGUCACUGGCCUUGCGUGACCGGCCAUCUGUUAUCACCCGCCUCGCUCCCCGAUCUCAGGGUUGUUGCUGAACAGCGCAGGCUUUGUUCCCGCUGCAGGGCUGUGCGUUAUUAG